GAUGAACGCUGGCUACAGGCUUAACACAUGCAAGUCGAGGGGAAACGACGGGGAAGCUUGCUUCCCCGGGCGUCGACCGGCGCACGGGUGAGUAACGCGUAUCCAACCUGCCUCUGACUGAGGGAUAACCCGUCGAAAGUCGGCCUAAUACCUCAUGGCAUCGUCUGCGGGCAUCCAACGACGAUUAAAGAUUUCAUCGGUCAGGGAUGGGGAUGCGUCUGAUUAGCUAGUUGGCGGGGUAACGGCCCACCAAGGCGACGAUCAGUAGGGGUUCUGAGAGGAAGGUCCCCCACAUUGUAACUGAGGCACGGGCCACACUCGUACGGGAGGAGGCAGUGAGGAAGAUUGGUCAAUGGGCGAGAGCCUGAGCCAGCCAAGUAGCGUGCAGGAGGACGGCGCUAUGGGUUGUAAACUGCUUUUAUGCGGGGAGAAAUUGAGGGACGUGUCCUUCAUUGCAGGUACCGCAUGAAUAAGGACCGGCUAAUUCCGUU
Molecule: ribosomal RNA, 491 nt
Filed under: uncultured bacterium
Lineage: Bacteria
Description: partial 16S ribosomal RNA
Rfam family: Bacterial small subunit ribosomal RNA
Source: RNAcentral